CAAGCUUCUGGAACUCCCCUGUCCAUCGAUCAGGUUACAAAAUUACACUUCGGAAUGCCAAUCUUUCACGCAGACUUGGCUCAAUAACAAUUCAGUGGGCGUCCUCCGAUCCCAAGCCCAAGCCAGCUUCCUUUUUCACCCAGGAACUCGAGAGUGAAUGUCAGCGAGCUACCGAACUCUGGAGGACAAAGGCCAGCCAUGCAGGUGUCCACUCUGAGCUUACCUGGCGCCUGGCCAGCAGGAUUUGCUAUAGAGCGAUGAGGAGAAACAGUCCCUGCCGGUUUUACCUCCCUAAUCCACGGGAGCGCCAGAGCUAAUGCGACCCUCCCUUUAGAGUCCCCAGCAAAGACUGGCCUACUUUGCACAGCCAGGACCCGAAUCUGCGCUGUACGACUCACCCAACGCACCACAUGGCUGCGCUUCUUCUGCCAGAUAAUCUGCAUUCUGCUGCAACACCGCUGUACUGUCCAGUUCUCCGGAUUAAGAUCGCCUUCUGCUUUGUAACGGUUAACAAUGUCAUUGUCGUUUUAAAAAGAAGUUUGGACAAAUAAUACAAACAUGAAAAUGCAAAACAAUAACUGCACAAAUUGUACCAUUGCACAAAAUAGUACCUUUUCUUACCAGCUUUAAUAUUUUUAUAGCAAAUGAUGGGGGUGGUUACUAUACUGAGAUGUACUGAAUAAUAAAAUGAAUAAUAAAAUGCA
This is a long non-coding RNA of Acipenser ruthenus (sterlet), 704 nucleotides long. RefSeq lists it as uncharacterized. The transcript has 3 exons. The record is from RefSeq and is a predicted model, not a curated record. NCBI's taxonomy places the organism in Eukaryota, Metazoa, Chordata, Actinopteri, Acipenseriformes, Acipenseridae.